UUGAACGCUGGCGGCAUGCUUUACACAUGCAAGUCGAACGGUAACAGGCUGCUUGCAGCGCUGACGAGUGGCGAACGGGUGAGUAAUACAUCGGAAUGUACCCAGUAAUGGGGGAUAACGCAGCGAAAGUUGUGCUAAUACCGCAUACGCCCUGAGGGGGAAAGUGGGGGACCGCAAGGCCUCACGUUAUUGGAGCAGCCGAUGGCUGAUUAGCUAGUUGGUAGGGUAAAGGCCUACCAAGGCAACGAUCAGUAGCGGGUCUUAGAGGACGAUCCGCCACACUGGAACUGAGACACGGUCCAGACUCCUACGGGAGGCAGCAGUGGGGAAUCUUGGACAAUGGGCGCAAGCCUGAUCCAGCAAUGCCGCGUGCGUGAAGAAGGCCUUCGGGUUGUAAAGCGCUUUUGUCGGGGAGGAAAUCCUAGUGGUUAAUAACUGCUGGGGAUGACAGUACCCGAAGAAUCAGGACCGGCUAACUACGU
RNAcentral lists this ribosomal RNA (482 nucleotides) under uncultured bacterium. RNAcentral's name for it is "bacterial SSU rRNA". It matches the Rfam family "Bacterial small subunit ribosomal RNA", at positions 30 to 506 of the family's 1533-position model. The record is from RNAcentral.